Molecule: unclassified non-coding RNA, 212 nt
Filed under: uncultured fungus
Lineage: Eukaryota; Fungi
Description: sequence contains ITS1, 5.8S rRNA gene
Source: RNAcentral
CCGAGUUAGGGUUCCUCUCACGGGCCCGACCUCCCAACCCUGUGUCUAUCACACCUUGUCGUUGCUUCGGUGGACCGGUCUGGGGACUCUUGUGUUCCUGGCCGCCGGGGGUGUUUGUCACCCCGGGAGAGCGUCCGCCGAUGGCCCAACCACAAACCUUCUUUGUUCCAAACCAGUCGUCUAAAUCAAACCUUGAUAAUAAUCAAAACACA